This 367-nucleotide long non-coding RNA is filed under the name Rattus norvegicus (Norway rat). RNAcentral's name for it is "long non-coding RNA NONRATT011711". The record is from RNAcentral. Lineage: Eukaryota; Metazoa; Chordata; Mammalia; Rodentia; Muridae.
GAGAGCUCAAGCGGCAUCUCAGCAGUGCGAGCAGAAAGCCACCGUAGAGAGCGAAUGGAAACCAGCCGACAUAUUCAGUACUCUGGGGGAAAGGGAACGUGAUAGAAGUUUGUUGGAAGCAAGAAGAGCCCAGUGGAAAAAAGAGCUAGACGAACAGGUUGCUUUAAAGAAGAAAGAAAAAGAAGCUUCUCAAAAAUGGCCUGAUCCUUGGAAACCGUCUGAAAUACUGUGUGAGAAGCUUCAGGUCCUUGAGCGAUCUAAGGAAGCAGGGCUGUUGGAGUCCCCUUGCAUCACUGUUAAACAGGAGCAGCAGAGAAAAUGGAUUGAAGAGUUGAAUAAGCAAGUAGAAGAUGACCAGCAAAGAAAA